AUGGAUAUUUAUUCUGCAGCAGUUCCUCGCUGGCUUCAAUUUCUCCUCACCGAUAAAUUCUACAACGCUUGCUUAAUUCAUCCGAAAACCAAAAAAAAAAUGAAAAGAAUGUAUAUUGUUUGGAUUGUUGCAUCAGUCUUUGCCCUCACUGUGUUUCUCCUCACUCAGCUCACCUCCAUCAAACUGCAACCCAUUCCGCAAGCACCUUCGUCAAGCAGCACCUUCCUCAAGCAUUCUUUCUGUCAAACAGCUCCUUCCUCAACAAACCUCUCCCCACUGUCCGAUUAA
Vicia faba (fava bean) is the source of this 288-nucleotide non-coding RNA. Lineage: Eukaryota; Viridiplantae; Streptophyta; Magnoliopsida; Fabales; Fabaceae. The record is from the annotation of a GenBank genome assembly.